Molecule: transfer RNA, 72 nt
Filed under: Nanobdellota archaeon
Lineage: Archaea; Nanobdellati; Nanobdellota
Also listed under: 1 other name
Description: tRNA-Met
Rfam family: tRNA
About the family: Transfer RNA (tRNA) molecules are approximately 80 nucleotides in length. Their secondary structure includes four short double-helical elements and three loops (D, anti-codon, and T loops). Further hydrogen bonds mediate the characteristic L-shaped molecular structure. tRNAs have two regions of fundamental functional importance: the anti-codon, which is responsible for specific mRNA codon recognition, and the 3' end, to which the tRNAs corresponding amino acid is attached (by aminoacyl-tRNA synthetases). tRNAs cope with the degeneracy of the genetic code in two manners: having more than one tRNA (with a specific anti-codon) for a particular amino acid; and 'wobble' base-pairing, i.e. permitting non-standard base-pairing at the 3rd anti-codon position.
Source: RNAcentral
GGCGCUGUAGUUCAGUGGUAGAACGCGAGUCUCAUGAGCUCGAUAUCGGGGGUUCAAUUCCCUCCAGCGCCA